GAUGAACGCUGGCGGCGUGCCUAACACAUGCAAGUCGAGCGGUAACAGGAGUAGUUUACUACUUGCUGACGAGCGGCGAACGGCUGAGUAACGCGUGGGAAUGUACCCCAAAGUGAGGAAUAACUGCCCGAAAGGGUAGCUAAUGCCGCAUAUGAUCUUCGGAUUAAAGCAUUUAUGCGCUUUGGGAACAGCCCGCGUCCGAUUAGGUAGUUGGUGAGGUAAAGGCUCACCAAGCCGACGAUCGGUAGCUGGUCUGAGAGGAUGAUCAGCCAGACUGGAACUGAGACACGGUCCAGACUCCUACGGGAGGCAGCAGUGAGGAAUCUUCCACAAUGGGCGAAAGCCUGAUGGAGCAACGCCGCGUGCAGGAUGAAGGCCUUCGGGUCGUAAACUGCUUUUAUGAGUGAAGAAUAUGACGGUAACUCAUGAAUAAGGGUCGGCUAACUACGUGCCAGCAGCCGCCGUAAAAC
RNAcentral lists this ribosomal RNA (470 nucleotides) under uncultured bacterium. Its description in RNAcentral is "bacterial SSU rRNA". It matches the Rfam family "Bacterial small subunit ribosomal RNA", at positions 28 to 526 of the family's 1533-position model. The record is from RNAcentral.